GACGAACGCUGGCGGCGUGCCUAACACAUGCAAGUCGAGCGAAUGAAGUUCCUUCGGGAAUGGAUUUAGCGGCGGACGGGUGAGUAACACGUGGGCAACCUGCCUCAUAGAGGGGAAUAGCCUCCCGAAAGGGAGAUUAAUACCGCAUAAUAUUGUAGUACCGCAUGAUACAGCAAUUAAAGGAGCAAUCCGCUAUGAGAUGGGCCCGCGGCGCAUUAGCUAGUUGGUGAGGUAUUGGCUCACCACGGCGACGAUGCGUAGCCGACCUGAGAGGGUGAUCGGCCACAUUGGGACUGAGACACGGCCCAGACUCCUACGGGAGGCAGCAGUGGGGAAUAUUGCACAAUGGGGGAAACCCUGAUGCAGCAACGACGCGUGAGUGAUGACGGCCUUCGGGUUGUAAAGCUCUGUCUUCAGGGACGAUAAUGACGGUACCUGAGGAGGAAGCCACGGCUAACUACGUG
Molecule: ribosomal RNA, 464 nt
Filed under: uncultured bacterium
Lineage: Bacteria
Description: partial 16S ribosomal RNA
Rfam family: Bacterial small subunit ribosomal RNA
Source: RNAcentral